Symsagittifera roscoffensis is the source of this 3534-nucleotide RNA transcript. It is a transcript of the gene named aftiphilin-like, with no coding region annotated. The record is from RefSeq and is a predicted model, not a curated record. The transcript has 9 exons. NCBI's taxonomy places the organism in Eukaryota, Metazoa, Xenacoelomorpha, Acoela, Convolutidae.
AGGAAUGUCUAACGAUGGAGGAGACGUAAUAAUUGAGUCGCCCCUCAACCCCAAUGUACCCCCGUUUUUCCCCGGCAACACCCACCAAAAAGAGCCAGACACCACUGAAAGUACAAGAGAAGAAAAAUCUCUGGACGAACAAGAUGAAGACCAGGAAGAAUGUCCUGUUCAAUCAGAAAACUCAGAUAGACGUUUGACGUCAGAAAACGGACAAUACGAGUCGGAAACCUUAUCAUCUGUGUUACAUGAUCAAAAAGAUGAAAACGAGGACUGUGAAGAAAACAUAAAUACAGACUUACAUAUCCAAAGUAAACAAGAUGAAAUGAAAGAAUCGGAUGCCCAUUAUAAUGAAGAGUUAGACGCUGUAGGUUCGCAAGAGGCCAGCGCUGUAGUUGCAGACAAUGAUUUCGACGACUUCGCUCCGUUUGACAUUGCGCCAGUGCACUUGGUAAACGAGGGGACAGAAUCCAGCGAAUCCAACAAAGAAUUUAGUAACGACGCUGAAGACGAGUCAGUAAGUAACACUGGCAGUUUAAAAGCUUCUAUACUUAAAUCGGAAAAUGAACAAAUCGACGGCAUCGAAUGCUGGAAGUCAUUCUCCAAUACUGAUUGCAAAGAGAAACAAGAAGACGUUGAACGGGAUGUCGCUAAUUUUGAAUCAUCUUCUCUAGGUCAAGAAGAUAAACCCAUCGGAAGUAGCAAAAAAGAAUCACAAUCUGAUGGCACAGAAGACGGAUUAAACGUAGUCGUCGAAGAACUUCUGACUCAUACAAAAAACAAUCAUUCGAUCCAAAGCGAAUUAGAACCUCUAAAUUUUGAAAGCGGACAAAGUGAAACUACGAGCUCAGCAGAAGAUUUCGAUGAUUUCGCCUCUUUUGAACAAAAUAGCGGAACCUCCAGUAAAGCGACUGAAGAUGCUGAUAGAAAAAAUCCAGAAGAAUAUUCAUAUUUGAAAAAUGAGGGAGUUUCAGACGUCCUAUCUAAAGACAUAAAAGAAAAUCCAUCUUUUGGCGAGGAACCGUCUCGGACACUCGACGAACAGGAAGCCUGUAUAGAUGAAUGGGCCGAUUUUGACUCGGGAAUUCAGAAUCAUUGUGAAAAAAUUGACGAAAAUGAACUGUUUAAAGAGAAGCCAACUAGCAUAGAACCAGAAACAGAAGAUCGCAGUACAAUCUCAGAUACCAAAAACCAAAGCGCAAUCGAAGAAUCUUCGCCCACUUUAUUUGUUGAAGGUGACCUGAAUAAUGAAACAUUAGAGGAAACUGUAGACAAAAUCACGACGGAGAGUGAUAAAACUACAUCAUUGGCUGAUGCUAAUGAACCGGAAAGUAAUGAGAACCCAGAAUUCUCUAAAUGUAAAGAGAAUUUAUCUACCUCUAAUGUAAAUAACGUGCUAACUAAACAAAAAGAUUUUGCAGCCUUUUCGGAAACUGACAAAGGUUUAGAAGAAAACAAUGAAGCUCUAAACGUCGAAAAUCAAGGUCAAACUGAUAACUGGGCUUUCUUCGCUUCUGGCAGUACAGCUUCAGCAAACAACGAAGAGGAUGGAUUUGCAGACUUUACUAAUUUUGAAGCAUUUUCGCAACCAUUUUCCGAGUUGAAACAUACUUGGGAAACUAAUCAACAAAACACGGACCUCAAUAUAAAAGCUGUUAAUGAAACCAAAUCUGGCCUGGAGGAGGGGGACGAGGAUGCUGCUGCCAGUAAUGGCAUUGAGGAAGAAGAUGAUUUUGACGACUUCGCUGAUUUUUCGACCCCAGCUUCUAUGAGCUCAAACACAACAAUGGCUGCGACUGAACCCAAUAAUAGUGGGACUUUUCAGCAGUACAAUGGGAUUUCCGAUAUUGAUGAAAAGCAAUCGAUAUCACCUAGUUUCAAUUUGUCUGAAGAAACUGGACUGCAGAGUAUAGAAGAUAUGCUGAAUGAAGUUGACACGAAGUGCGAGGAUUUGGCCGAACAUGACCCCGUUGUGACUGAAGAUCCCCUCCUUCUACAAGACCUGAUCGUUUCUAUGCCAAUUGCCUCAGAUGUCUCCAAAGAACUCAAUGAUGUGAUAGAGGGCAUAUGGAGCAUAGUGUGCGACCUCUGCAAUAGUCCUUCCCUCCUUCUCCUAGACCCCUCAUCCCCCUCCCACUCUCAGUGCAGUCUCAAUGAACAACUGCUGUAUAGCCUCGGAGUUGACCUCAACAACACUUUGUCUUCUGUGAAACAGAACCUGCCAAAGUACGCAGCACAGUUGGGGCUUCUGCAGCCUAUGAAGAGUGGGGACUCAAAAGGAGAUGAAAGUGGUGGUGUUAGUGCAUACCAGCUGCGUGGCAACAACAACAACGCCAACUCUGCUCACAGAAACCAACAGGCCAUGUCAUGCACAUCGCCCACGCCGGAUGCGGUGCCAGAUGUUGAGUUUGACUGGGGGACAAGUGGACUAAAGAACCCACUUGAAAUGCAAUCUCUCAGCCUGGACUUUUUCGACUCCCAAUUCAACUCGUGUUCAGCCGCUUCUGCUUCUGCCACUUCACAGCUAGAGCAGGAACUGUUGAAUGAGUUGGGUGACGAAGUGGGUGGAAGAGGAACUGGCAUAAGUCGCGGAGGAGAGGACUCUCAGUCUCUGGGAGGCACCAGUGUGAGUGCCAGUGCAGUCAGCAGAGACCGAGACAGCAAAUUGGCCAGCAUACUGGCAGUGGCACAGAGCUCUUCACACGAAAAUGUGAGUGUGGCGGUCGGAGGAUCUAACGCUCACUCUACCAAAGCUUCCUUCUCAAAUUACGCCCUCGAGGAUUCAUUUGGACCGUCACGCAGUAGCUGUAAUUCAUGGGGAGAUCCCAAAAUGCGAAUCAACAACAACAGUGCUUUCUUUGAUGCAACAAGAGACGAAAACUCAAACCAACUUUUCUCUCGAAAUUCGCUCAUGUCUAAUCAAAGUCGCCCAAAGAGUUAUGUGGGCUCUAAGUCAACAAACUCUAAUGGGAUGCCAAACAAACACGGUGCUAAUAGUCAAACGAACAGUGUCAGUUGGAGUGCUUGGAUAUUCCGCAGGAAGUAGAAGAGAAUAGAAGACGAAGUUACGUCUCCAUCAUUCACACUAGUCUUGGGAAGACUGAUUUUUCUUAUUUCCUUAUCAGAAAGGGUAGUUUCUUCAGUUCUACUUAAAAGUUUACCUACGAUUUGACUCGAUGUUAUCAAUGUCAUUGUAACUUAUGGGUCUUCUUUGGGUCCCUGAACAUUAUUUAUUGCUUGAUUUAUUAAUUUAUUAUUUCAGCAAAUUGCACUGAAAAAUAGCUUCCAGUAUAAAUCAUUCUGUCUGUCCUGUAUAUAAAUCCUACUUGCGAUUCGCCAAAUGUAGAGCUUUAAUUUAUUGAAUUAUUUUUUAAUUUCGAAAUUAUUAACUUCUUAUUCUCUAUAAUCAGUCUUCAAAAUCUUGCCAAUCAAGACUUGAGUCCGGCUGCUCACCAGGUGAUGCGGAAGCUUCCUAAAUUACAGUUUAUGCUCUCACGAGUCCUAAUGUUUCCCUUCUUGAGUGACAAAAGUGAGUCA